RNAcentral lists this unclassified non-coding RNA (295 nucleotides) under uncultured Oscillospiraceae bacterium. RNAcentral describes it as "contains 16S-23S intergenic spacer region". Lineage: Bacteria; Bacillati; Bacillota; Clostridia; Eubacteriales; Oscillospiraceae. The record is from RNAcentral.
CGGACUACUCGGGUUUCUAAUCCUGUUUGCUCCCCACGCUUUCGAGCCUCAGCGUCAGUAAAGCCCCAGCAAGCCGCCUUCGCCACUGGUGUUCCUCCCAAUAUCUAUGCAUUUCACCGCUACACUGGGAAUUCCGCUUGCCUCCGACUCACUCAAGAAAAACAGUUUCAAAAGCAGGCUAUGGGUUGAGCCCAUAGUUUUCACUUCUGACUUGCUUUCCCGCCUACGCUCCCUUUACACCCAGUAAUUCCGGACAACGCUCGCCACCUACGUAUUACCGCGGCUGCUGGCACUU